Molecule: ribosomal RNA, 253 nt
Filed under: uncultured bacterium
Lineage: Bacteria
Description: partial 16S ribosomal RNA
Rfam family: Bacterial small subunit ribosomal RNA
Source: RNAcentral
UACAGAGGUCCCGAGCGUUGUUCGGAUUCAUUGGGCGUAAAGGGUGCGUAGGUGGCGCCGUAAGUGGGGUGUGAAAUCCCGGGGCUUAACCCCGGGACUGCAUUCCAUACUGCGGUGCUUGAGGACUGGAGAGGAGACUGGAAUUUACGGUGUAGCAGUGAAAUGCGUAGAGAUCGUAAGGAAGACCAGUGGCGAAGGCGGGUCUCUGGACAGUUCCUGACACUGAGGCACGAAGGCCAGGGGAGCAAACGAG